This 470-nucleotide ribosomal RNA is filed under the name uncultured bacterium. RNAcentral describes it as "bacterial SSU rRNA". It matches the Rfam family "Bacterial small subunit ribosomal RNA", at positions 365 to 825 of the family's 1533-position model. The record is from RNAcentral.
UUCGCAAUGCCCGAAAGGGUGACGAAGCGACGCCGCGUGUGGGAAGAAGGCCUUCGGGUUGUAAACCACUGUCGGGAGUUAGGAAAUGUAAGGGUGUUAAUAGUAUCCUUACUUGACUAAGGCUCCGGAGGAAGCCACGGCUAACUCUGUGCCAGCAGCCGCGGUAAUACAGAGGCGGCAAGCGUUGUUCGGAAUUAUUGGGCGUAAAGAGCACGUAGGCGGCCCUGUAAGUCAGUUGUGAAAGCCUUCUGCUUAACGGAAGAACAGCAGCUGAUACUGCAAGGCUAGAGUGCGGAAGGGGAGAGUGGAACUUCUGGUGGAGCGGUGAAAUGCGUAGAUAUCAGAAGGAACACCGGCGGCGAAGGCGACUCUCUGGUCCGUAACUGACGCUGAGUGUGCGAAAGCUAGGGGAGCAAACGGGAUUAGAUACCCCGGUAGUCCUAGCCGUAAACGAUGGGCACUAAGUAGAG